RNAcentral lists this ribosomal RNA (253 nucleotides) under Vibrio parahaemolyticus. RNAcentral describes it as "partial 23S ribosomal RNA". It matches the Rfam family "Bacterial large subunit ribosomal RNA", at positions 1421 to 1674 of the family's 2925-position model. Lineage: Bacteria; Pseudomonadati; Pseudomonadota; Gammaproteobacteria; Vibrionales; Vibrionaceae. The record is from RNAcentral.
GGAAACGGGUUAAUAUUCCCGUACUUCUUACAAUUGCGAUGGGGGGACGGAGAAGGCUAGGUGGGCCUGGCGACGGUUGUCCAGGUUCAAGUGCGUAGGCUUGAGAGUUAGGUAAAUCCGGCUCUCUUUAAGGCUGAGACACGACGUCGAGCACCUACGGGUGUGAAGUCAUUGAUGCCAUGCUUCCAGGAAAAGCCUCUAAGCUUCAGAUUGUAAGGAAUCGUACCCCAAACCGACACAGGUGGUCGGGUAG